UCCUUUUAGGCAAAGGAUGCUUUGAUUUUUGCGCAGUUUUCGUGCGGUUUUCGGAGCUACAGGACGCAGCAGCGGCAGCAACAGCAGCGUACACAGCAAAAAGCACCCAAAGAGGCAGCGUGAAAGAGGAUAGCAGGGGAGUUGUGGUUUUUUGCAGUGUGUCCGUGCGAGAAACAAUCCAAAAACAAUCGAAUUUCGUGCGAGACAGAAGCUCGAGUUGAAAAAGCAUAAUAAGCAAAAGGCAUAAAAGCCUGUGAGAAGGUGACAAAAGUAGCAAAAAGGGCAGGCUCUGCAAGGACCCUUGGAUUACCUUGCGGGGCAAGCGGAAGCAGCCAGCGCGGAUUCGCCGGCGGGCGGAACUCCGGCAGUUGCUGAAGCGCAAAGGAAGCAGAUCAGACUCGGUGGACGACGAAGCGACUAAGCAGCAGCAGAGACUGCAAGCAGUCAUCGUCAACAUUCGCCUCCCAUUAAGUGCCAAGAGCAACAGAGAAAGGGGAGGGCAGGGCUUCACGAAGGAGGCGAAGGAGGAGAACAAGAUAUUUGUAAGCCAAAAAAAGACAACGAGGCUGGCGCUAGCCCCAGGGCAGCAGCAAAAGUA
Long non-coding RNA from Drosophila subobscura, 598 nucleotides. RefSeq lists it as uncharacterized. The transcript has 3 exons. The record is from RefSeq and is a predicted model, not a curated record. Lineage: Eukaryota; Metazoa; Arthropoda; Insecta; Diptera; Drosophilidae.